Long non-coding RNA from Oryza brachyantha (malo sina), 1110 nucleotides. RefSeq lists it as uncharacterized. The record is from RefSeq and is a predicted model, not a curated record. Lineage: Eukaryota; Viridiplantae; Streptophyta; Magnoliopsida; Poales; Poaceae. The transcript is spliced from 3 exons.
CCUCAGCCGCACACCUCUUUCCCUCCAUUCUCAUCUCCUCUUCUCUCCCUUAGUUGGCGGCGCUGGGCGUCGUGGCGACGACGGCCUCCUCCUUCGUUGCUGCUCCCUGCACCGGCUUCCUCCACCUAGCUGCUCUCGGCGACGUUCUUGGGCCCAGGGUGGCCAGAUCGGGAGGUGGCGGCUCCGGGGCAGCCAGAUCGAGCGGCGGCAGGACAGCCAGAUUAGGCGACGGCAGCGGGCACAGUCCCGAGGCGGCUCGGCGACGGCGUGCGGCGGCAACGACAGCUUGCGGCGCCAGGCUUCUUCUUGGCCGUUCGCUGCGCUAGCUUCAUCCCUCCUCGCUCAGAUGCUUUGCCGACGAUGAUUAAAAUGAUGUGUAUUAUAUGGUUUGGAGAGGGAUUGUGGAGCAGCAAUGCAUGGUUUGGGUUGUGUUGAGGGCAGAUCUUGGUGUGUUUGCUAUGGAGGGGAAAUUAUUGCUAGCUAGCAACACACUCAUCGAUUUUGCUGUGCCUAGAUCCAAAAAAAUUGCUAUUAGGUCCUACUGUUUUGGCAUGCCUAUGUAUUCAUGGGUUUACAUCAUGAUUUAUUGAUUUUGUUGCACCUAAGUAACAGCUCUUUUGAUAUGCCUAUGCCAUAGUUUUUUUUUCAUGUUUUAGCUUAUAUCAAACCAUUGACAAGGAGUUUUGAAUAUAAAGAGCUGACUACACACAUUUUGCUCACCUUCCGAGUGAUGAGGUGGUGGUUUUUGCAUCGCAGAGGCAGAGAUAUUGAGUAAGAUCCAGCCCCGACCAAUUGAGGUUUAGUGGCUGAGUACUGGAUAAUGUGGUGGUUGAUAUGGUGUGCAGAUCUCAGCGAGACGUCGAAGCUACUUGACAAACUCAUUGUGCUCCAUGUGGUGCGCUAGUCAAAAAAGUGAACCAAAUGCAACAAUCAGUGAUGCAGUGAUGUAUGAUAUGACAUCGUUGGCUGGAUUUGCCAUAACUGAACCUUGCUAAAUAUAUGCUAUAAAAUGUGCUUCUGUAACAUAGCGUAUUCUGUCUAUUUUGGUCAGUGAAUUUGAGUGAUUGUAUUUGGUCACGUGGUUUUAUUUGGCAGUUAAUUGGGCUGUGA